CCGGAGGCCGGUUGGCCGCGCAAUCGCCGGUCGGAAGGGUUGCGGACGCGUGAAACAGAGAAGCUCUGUUUCAUGCGUCCCAGAUGAGUUGCGGCUCACAAAAAAAAUGCUAAGGGUCCAUGUGAAGGGAGUGGUCCACGGGUCCAUGGGAUUUAUUCACGGUCAGCAACCACUCUAAAUGAGAAAAGUCAACUUGUGAUACAAAUGGGUUAGCCCAUUUGAUCAUAAGUUAGUCUAUUUGGUUCUAAACCAAAUUUGCAGCCCAUUUGAAUGAAUUUUUGACCCGAAAAAAUUCCACAUGAGUCUGACUCAUAGGAGAUUCAAUUGGGUCUAGUUUCGGCUCGAUCCAAGUCCGACUUAGAUCAGAACAAAUACGAAAUUAAAUCCCAAUUAAAUCAUGAUCGA
RNAcentral lists this long non-coding RNA (405 nucleotides) under Phoenix dactylifera (date palm). RNAcentral describes it as "long non-coding RNA (PDAC_LNC020709)". The record is from RNAcentral. Lineage: Eukaryota; Viridiplantae; Streptophyta; Magnoliopsida; Arecales; Arecaceae.